AUUGAACGCUGGCGGCAUGCUUUACACAUGCAAGUCGAACGGUAACAGGCCGCAAGGUGCUGACGAGUGGCGAACGGGUGAGUAAUGCAUCGGAACGUGCCCAGUCGUGGGGGAUAACUACUCGAAAGAGUAGCUAAUACCGCAUACGAUCUAUGGAUGAAAGCGGGGGACCGUAAGGCCUCGCGCGAUUGGAGCGGCCGAUGUCAGAUUAGGUAGUUGGUGGGGUAAAGGCUCACCAAGCCAACGAUCUGUAGCUGGUCUGAGAGGACAACCAGCCACACUGGGACUGAGACACGGCCCAGACUCCUACGGGAGGCAGCAGUGGGGAAUUUUGGACAAAGGGCGCAAGCCUGAUCCGGCAAUGCCGCGUGCAGGAAGAAGGCCUUCGGGUUGUAAACUGCUUUUGUACGGAACGAAACGGCUCUGGUUAAUACCCGGGGCUAAUGACGGUACCGUAAGAAUAAGCACCGGCUAACUACGUG
This 482-nucleotide ribosomal RNA is filed under the name uncultured bacterium. RNAcentral describes it as "partial 16S ribosomal RNA". It matches the Rfam family "Bacterial small subunit ribosomal RNA", at positions 30 to 507 of the family's 1533-position model. The record is from RNAcentral.